RNAcentral lists this microRNA (22 nucleotides) under Canis lupus familiaris (dog). RNAcentral describes it as "Cfa-Mir-210_5p* (star (passenger))". The record is from RNAcentral. Lineage: Eukaryota; Metazoa; Chordata; Mammalia; Carnivora; Canidae.
AGCCACUGCCCAUCGCACACUG